Molecule: ribosomal RNA, 446 nt
Filed under: Leptotrichia sp. oral taxon 215
Lineage: Bacteria; Fusobacteriati; Fusobacteriota; Fusobacteriia; Fusobacteriales; Leptotrichiaceae
Description: bacterial SSU rRNA
Rfam family: Bacterial small subunit ribosomal RNA
Source: RNAcentral
GAUGAACGCUGACAGAAUGCUUAACACAUGCAAGUCGAUGGGGAAGUGGUGCUUGCACCAUGGUAACCAUGGCGGACGGGUGAGUAACGCGUAAGGAACUUGCCUGCGGGACCGGGAUAACAGCAGGAAACUGCUGACAAGACCGGAUAAGGUCAUGAAGCUGCAUAGCUUAGUGAUGAAAGGAGACGCCUGCGGAGAGCCUUGCGUCCUAUUAGCUAGUUGGAGGGGUAACGGCCCACCAAGGCGAAGAUAGGUAGCCGGCCUGAGAGGGUGGACGGCCACAAGGGGACUGAGAUACGGCCCUUACUCCUACGGGAGGCAGCAGUGGGGAAUAUUGGACAAUGGGGGCAACCCUGAUCCAGCAAUUCUGUGUGCACGAAGACGGUUUUCGGAUUGUAAAGUGCUUUCAGCAGGGAAGAAGGAAGGUGACGGUACCUGCAGAAGAA